This 352-nucleotide long non-coding RNA is filed under the name Volvox carteri. Its description in RNAcentral is "long non-coding RNA (VCAR_LNC002968)". The record is from RNAcentral. Lineage: Eukaryota; Viridiplantae; Chlorophyta; Chlorophyceae; Chlamydomonadales; Volvocaceae.
AGACAUCGUACCGACACCGUCGCGAUGCUGUAUUGCACCGUAUGGAGGACACGGAACAGACGCACUGGAGGGGAACGGUAGUGUACUAAGCGCACAAUACAUGAGCAGCCAGCUCGUCGGCCGUAGGGAAUCUCUUUCCGAGACGUGCAGAUCUGUACUGUUCCAGUUUACGACACGCACUGGACGUUUCGAGUCCACGCUAAAUCGCACAAUCCAGGGCUGCCCAAUCGUUAAUCUGAUCAGCGAUGAUUAGCACAUCGCCUUGCUUUCGAUCUGGCCCUGAAUUGUGGGUGGGCCCUCCCGGUGGGCCCUCCCGAACAAUUGAUACCUACUCAAGCCACAUUACGGCUGU